Molecule: long non-coding RNA, 846 nt
Organism: Diabrotica virgifera virgifera (western corn rootworm)
Lineage: Eukaryota; Metazoa; Arthropoda; Insecta; Coleoptera; Chrysomelidae
Exons: 2
Source: RefSeq, a predicted model, not a curated record
GCCGUUCCAAGAUGCUGUCAAAAUUAAAUCAAUAUGGCUACCGGAAGGCAAACAUUGAAUAUUAUUCUAUCAGGUUCUUAUGGUUUUAGAUCAUUUUAGUUGUUGUACAAAGAUUAAUUUAACAUUUUCUCUGGAAGUAUUAAUUUAGAAAGAUAAUAUGCCUCAUUGGUGUUGUGUUUUGAAGUGUGAAAUGCAAAGUAAUCGUGAUAAAGUUAGCUUUUACCACUUACCAUCAGUGCUACAUUCUAAGCACAAAACUGAACCAAUUUAACUAAAUAAGUUAUAGUUAUCAUCUGAGAGACAACAACAAUGGUAAAAUGCAAUAAAAUAUUAAGAUUUUACUAGCAAAAUGGAAAUUCCCCUGUAAUCAUCUUAUAUCUGGUAAGUUACAACAUUUGAACAUUAACCAUUUUUGAAGAUGUUAACAGUCUAAUCUUGUAGGAAAACCAGCCGACUUAACUGAUAAUAACAAUCCAGAUUGGGUUCAUUCAAUACAUAUGGGGUAUAUAAACACAAUGAAAUGAGUUCCCCAAAAUCUAAAAUGGGAAUUAAGGUACCAAAGGAGAAUUAAAAGAAAAGGGUACCUACAAGAAAAAAUUGCUUUUUUAUUCCUCUUGAAAUGAUUUAUAAGACACUGGACUGUCUUAUAUUCUACAAAUACUAGAAUCAGCUGAGAGAAGUGGUCUACAAAAACCCAGGAAGGAAACGGAAUAUGUGGCUACGAAAGGCAAAAGAAAGGUUUACAAAGCAAAUGUGACACAUUUUUUUGAAAUAUUUAGGAAUAUCAGUAAAUUGCAUUAAAAAAAUGUAUGAAAAGAUUUUGUUCAAUAAAAAUGUUUAUAUUUA